This 447-nucleotide ribosomal RNA is filed under the name uncultured bacterium. RNAcentral's name for it is "SSU rRNA". It matches the Rfam family "Bacterial small subunit ribosomal RNA", at positions 26 to 518 of the family's 1533-position model. The record is from RNAcentral.
AGAGCGAACGCUGGCGGCAGGCCUAAUACAUGCAAGUCGAACGGACCCUUCGGGGUUAGUGGCGGACGGGUGAGUAACACGUGGGAACGUGCCCUUUGGUUCGGAACAACUCAGGGAAACUUGAGCUAAUACCGAAUGUGCCCUUUGGGGGAAAGAUUUAUCGCCAUUGGAGCGGCCCGCGUCUGAUUAGCUAGUUGGUGAGGUAAAGGCUCACCAAGGCGACGAUCAGUAGCUGGUCUGAGAGGAUGAUCAGCCACACUGGGACUGAGACACGGCCCAGACUCCUACGGGAGGCAGCAGUAGGGAAUCUUGCGCAAUGGGCGAAAGCCUGACGCAGCCAUGCCGCGUGAAUGAUGAAGGUCUUAGGAUUGUAAAAUUCUUUCAGCGGGGACGAUAAUGACGGUACCCGCAGAAGAACGCCCCGGCUAACUUCGUGCCAGCAGCUGC